UACAGAGGGUGCGAGCGUUAAUCGGAAUUACUGGGCGUAAAGCGCACGUAGUCGGCUUUGCAAGUCGGUUGUGAAAUCCCCGGGCUCAACCUGGGAACUGCAUCCGAGACUGCAUUGCUAGAGUACGGGAGAGGGAAGCGGAAUUCCGGGUGUAGCGGUGAAAUGCGUAGAUAUCCGGAGGAACACCGGUGGCGAAGGCGGCUUCCUGGACCGACACUGACGCUGAGGCGCGAAAGCUAGGGGAGCAAACGGG
Molecule: ribosomal RNA, 253 nt
Filed under: uncultured bacterium
Lineage: Bacteria
Description: partial 16S ribosomal RNA
Rfam family: Bacterial small subunit ribosomal RNA
Source: RNAcentral